This 862-nucleotide ribosomal RNA is filed under the name uncultured Acidobacteriota bacterium. Its description in RNAcentral is "bacterial SSU rRNA". It matches the Rfam family "Bacterial small subunit ribosomal RNA", at positions 56 to 896 of the family's 1533-position model. The record is from RNAcentral. Lineage: Bacteria; Pseudomonadati; Acidobacteriota.
UGCAAGUCGAACGCGAAAGUGGAGCAAUCCAUGAGUAGAGUGGCAAACGGGUGAGUAACACGUGGGUGACCUGCCUUCGAGUGGGGGAUAACGUUCCGAAAGGGGCGCUAAUACCGCAUGACAUACCGUCGUUGAAGAGACGGACAUUAAAGCCUGGGACCGCAAGGCCAGGCGCUUGAAGAGGGGCCCGCGUCUGAUUAGCUAGUUGGUGGGGUAACGGCUCACCAAGGCAACGAUCAGUAUCCGGCCUGAGAGGGCGGACGGACACACUGGGACUGAGACACGGCCCAGACUCCUACGGGAGGCAGCAGUGGGGAAUUGUUCGCAAUGGGCGCAAGCCUGACGACGCAACGCCGCGUGGAGGAUGAAGAUCUUCGGGUCGUAAACUCCUUUCGAUCGAGACGAACAGCCUUUGGGUUAAUAGCCCGGAGGUCUGACGGUACCGAGAGAAGAAGCCCCGGCUAACUCCGUGCCAGCAGCCGCGGUAAUACGGGGGGGGCAAGCGUUGUUCGGAAUUACUGGGCGUAAAGGGCUCGUAGGUGGCCAACUAAGUCAAACGUGAAAUCCCUCGGCUUAACCGGGGAACUGCGUUUGAUACUGGAUGGCUUGAGUUUGGGAGAGGGAUGCGGAAUUCCAGGUGUAGCGGUGAAAUGCGUAGAUAUCUGGAGGAACACCGGUGGCGAAGGCGGCAUCCUGGACCAAUACUGACGCUGAGGAGCGAAAGCUAGGGGAGCAAACGGGAUUAGAUACCCCGGUAGUCCUAGCCCUAAACGAUGAAUGCUUGGUGUGGCGGGUAUCGAUCCCUGCCGUGCCGAAGCUAACGCAUUAAGCAUUCCGCCUGGGGAGUACGGUCGCAAGGCUG